Molecule: non-coding RNA, 2385 nt
Organism: Peromyscus maniculatus bairdii (prairie deer mouse)
Lineage: Eukaryota; Metazoa; Chordata; Mammalia; Rodentia; Cricetidae
Source: RefSeq, a predicted model, not a curated record
CUCUGUUACUGGCAAGACCUUUGAUACCCGGCAAGUUGCACUGCUGAGAGGCAGGGGGAGACAUGUGUGCCAAAGGGAGGUCCUUUCUGUGCUUUGUUGUCCUGUGAGAUGUUAACCGGCAGGAGGAAUGUGUACCUUUUUGGAAAACAAUCUGGCUGUUGAGUUCUGAUUGAAGAGGAGGCACACUGCAAUAUGCAGGCAUGAGAUACUUGAGCAGAAGAUAAUGCUUGCAGCCGUACUUUUAACAUUCAAUUUCAGUGCUGUCCAGAAAAACUGUAAAACUGGGGAAAGACUAUGCCCUUAAACUUAUACCCUACACUGGAAAAGAAGGUUUGAAGUGGGUGCACAUUGACCAGCAUGAAAAGCUGUUGUGCUCAAAGAGAAUAAGUUCCCUGGAUUCUUGGAACAGGCUGACAAGAUCUUUGCUCUCUGCUCUGUGUGGUUGCAUAUAUAUGCUACCUGUCCUACCUACCCUAGAACAUGUCUGCUAGCUACCAAGGUGAGCUUGAAAUCAGCACCUGCAUUUGAACUUUGGGAAGACUGCCACUUGCUCCUCACCAGUUCUAGUUUGGUUUCUGUUACUUCAUCCUCCAGAAUGUGCAAAUGUUUAAUGAAAUAUUACACCAAAGACUCAUAAGCAUCAGUGAAAUCUCUCAACUAACCAGCCGCCUUAUUAGUGAAAGAGUCAGCAGCAACCCGGACCAUUGGCUUCCAAAUGGUUUCUGAUGAGAACAUAAGCCAAGAACAGGACCCAUGACUUCAGUAGGGUCACAGAGCCAGACAAGACCUUCAGAGGCAGCAGGGAACACAGACGUCAACAUGGCUUCAGACUCCAGCACAGACCUUGGCCAGCUACAUGGGCUAUGGACAUCAACACAGAUCCUAGCUGCCAUAGGACCACAGGCCCCAACAUGGCCCUUGGUGGCAGCACAAGUGCAAACAUCAGCAUGGCCCCAGGUGGCAUCACAGGCCACUCAGUAUGGCCCCUAGCAGCCAAAUGGCCCAAGGAUAACAACAUGGCUUCAGGCUGCAGCGCAGACCACAGACAUCCAUAUGGCCAUUAGUGGUAGCACAGGCCACAGAUAUGAGCAUAGACCCUGGCUGCGAUAAGACCACAGACCCACACUUGGCUUUCAGUGGCAGGAUGGUUUACCUUUUAUCUGAGUCACAGAGGUUCAGUCAAUGUUUGUUGUUAUAUGACUCAAAAAUCCAAGGAUCCCAAAAGGUUGUUGUUAAUUUCUUACAAUUUGAAAGCUAAAGAGGUUCAGAGAACAUUCUCUGUUUUCAUCCUAGAUCUGGACUCUAGAUAUAUCAUACUCUUAGUUAGCAGCAGCCCACAGUGUUAAUGUAUGAAAGAACAGUAAUGUCUUUCUAACUACUGUUCUGUUACAAUACUUAACAUAUGCUUCCUUACUGUGCUUUCCUUUAUGGAUGUGUAAUGUGUCUGGAGACCGAAACAUUAAGCUACCUUACUUCAACUCUUUGCUUACAAUCAUAUUUCAGAGUAAAUACUUUACUCCAUAAUUUGCCGUUCAAUAUUUUAAUUGUGAUUUUCCAAAAUAGGAAGGAAUCCCUUUAAACAGGGAUCCUUUUCACCUAUUUUGAUUUAAAGAUGUAUUUUCCUUUAAUUCAACUUUUAACAACUGAGUUUUAUUUGCAGAGUGAUUGCUUUACAAUUGAAAGGGUAAUGAAACACUGCCUUUCAAAACAAACAAGUUGUUAGGGAAUUCCUGCUCUUGAUGCUACAAAGAUGGACCGUUCAGGCAUCAUCCCAGUGACCCCAAGUUGCUCUCCUGAGGCUCCUGGAGAAGGAAGGGCGGCAGGGCAUUGUAGCUAGAAAUUCAUGUACAAUGGUGUCUUCCCAGUCCCUGAAGGAAGGCUAAAACCCUAGUCCUUUAGUGAGCACAAGUUUACACAUGUAGGUUUGCUGCUGAGUGCUGACACAUUGCGGAAUUGAGAUGUGUGGUUGACACCGUUGAAGGCUUACCAGAGUGCUCGUGCCAGUGUGCGAGCUUCCGUACGCUAUAACUUGCCCAUUUCCAAAAAGACUAAGAGUGAACAAUUUGAAGAUGGUUUUGUGUUGUACAGUGGAGUGCUAGUGGACAUGGGUCUCAAUUGUGAGUUUUUUUUUCUUGUCCCCACUUUUGUUGGAGCUGACUGUGUGCCUCUGACCUUUACUUCUGAUCAUGUGGUAAUGCUAAACUUUUCUUGCAGAUAUAUUUGUCAUUGUAUUCCUAGAGUUUACAUUCCUAAGAAUAAACAUGACGCUGGGUAUUUUUAUGUGCUUUCCAUGUUUUUAAGGUAUGAAAUAAACUGGAGUUGAGUUUUUGAAGUUUUGUACAUUUGUAUAAAUGUUCUUCAUAUGCAGUACUUUAUACAUUGUGU